Molecule: unclassified non-coding RNA, 332 nt
Filed under: soil metagenome
Description: partial contains 5.8S ribosomal RNA, internal transcribed spacer 2, and large subunit ribosomal RNA
Rfam family: 5.8S ribosomal RNA (bases 1-120)
Source: RNAcentral
GAUGAAGAACGCAGUAAAAUGCGAUAAGUAAUGUGAAUUGCAGAAUUCAGUGAAUCAUCGAAUCUUUGAACGCACAUUGCGCCCGCCAGUAUUCUGGCGGGCAUGCCUGUUCGAGCGUCAUUGCAACCCUCAAGCACAGCUUGGUGUUGGGACUCGCGUUAAUUCGCGUUCCCCAAAUUGAUUGGCGGUCACGUCGAGCUUCCAUAGCGUAGUAGUAAAACCCUCGUUACUGGUAAUCGUCGCGGCCACGCCGUUAAACCCCAACUUCUGAAUGUUGACCUCGGAUCAGGUAGGAAUACCCGCUGAACUUAAGCAUAUCAAUAAGCGGAGGA